GAAAAUGGCAGACAGCAAACACGUUGCGAGAUUAUUGUUAUCAGUAUGUUUCAAGGGUUGUGAUUGUUAGAUCGUUUAAGUACAGAUUAGUACAGGUGUUAUGUUUAUAUUUACAUGUACUUCUAUCCACGAUCACGGUAACACCUGAUGAAUUAUGUGUAACAGGACAGACUGACUGGUCAUUGGCAUCUCACGUCAGCUAGCGCGUCGACCGUGUACGGUGUAGUGACAUAUCACUCGAACUACCACAUUUCUUCCCCUGAUAUUGAAAACAUCAACCCAUUAUUUUUUCCUAGUUUCAACCCAAGGAUAAAAUGACCUGGGUGAUAUCAACUGCAGUAUUAGGGGACCUGCUGUCACGAAUGACUGUGAGACAUUGUCAUGCCAUGUCAUAUGUCAUAAGUGGCACUGUGAGCCAGAGACCCAUAGUUCCAUUACCAGAAUCUGCAGUCAGAUGAACUACUGACUAUAGGAGAUCUAAACUGUCAGUGACAAUCUAUCCCUCUGACUUGGAUUUUCUGACAAUUAGAUGUCAACAGCCUCUGAUUGUUUGUUCCUGUAUAGUAUGAUUUCAGAUAAAUAACCCAUACAUUUUUUAAAAGGAAA
Molecule: long non-coding RNA, 606 nt
Organism: Ostrea edulis (European flat oyster)
Lineage: Eukaryota; Metazoa; Mollusca; Bivalvia; Ostreida; Ostreidae
Exons: 2
Source: RefSeq, a predicted model, not a curated record